GCUAGUUGCACGGGUUUAGACCCGUGGCGAAAAGCUCAGUAACACGUGGCCAAGCUACCCUGUGGACCGGAAUAACCUCGGGAAACUGAGGACAAUUCCGGAUAACGCUCCCCUAUUGGAAUAUGGGGAGCCGGAAACGUUCAGGCGCCACAGGAUGCGGCUGCGGCCGAUUAGGUAGACGGUGGGGUAACGGCCCACCGUGCCCAUAGUCGGUACGGGUUGUGAGAGCAAGAGCCCGGAGACGGAAUCUGAGACAAGAUUCCGGGCCCUACGGGGCGCAGCAGGCGCGAAACCUUUACACUGCACGACAGUGCGAUAGGGGGACUCCGAGUGUGAGGGCAUAUAGCCCUCGCUUUUCUGCACCGUAAGGUGGUGCAAGAAUAAGGACUGGGCAAGACCGGUGCCAGCCGCCGCGGUAAUACCGGCAGUCCAAGUGAUGGCCGAUAUUAUUGGGCCUAAAGCGUCCGUAGCUUGCUGUGUAAGUCCAUUGGGAAAUCGACCAGCUCAACUGGUCGACGUCCGGUGGAAACUACACAGCUUGGGGCCGAGAGACUCAACGGGUACGUCC
RNAcentral lists this ribosomal RNA (568 nucleotides) under uncultured archaeon. Its description in RNAcentral is "bacterial SSU rRNA". It matches the Rfam family "Archaeal small subunit ribosomal RNA", at positions 53 to 622 of the family's 1478-position model. The record is from RNAcentral.